CUGGCGGCGUGCUUAACACAUGCAAGUCGAACGAGACGAAUUAGAAGCUUGCUUUUGACGAGCCGAGUGGCAAACGGGUGAGUAACGCGUAGACAACCUGCCGCAAAGAUGGGGACAACAGUCCGAAAGGACUGCUAAUACCGAAUGUUGUAUCUCCUCCGCAUGGAAGAGAUAUUAAAGAUGGCCUCUACUUGUAAGCUAUCGCCUGAAGAGGGGUUUGCGUCUGAUUAGGUAGUUGGUGAGGUAACGGCCCACCAAGCCGACGAUCAGUAGCCGGUCUGAGAGGAUGAACGGCCACACUGGAACUGAGACACGGUCCAGACUCCUACGGGAGGCAGCAGUGGGGAAUCUUCCGCAAUGGGCGCAAGCCUGACGGAGCAACGCCGCGUGAGUGAAGAAGGGUUUCGACUCGUAAAGCUCUGUUGUCGGGGACGAAUGUGGAGAUGGUGAAUAACCAUUUUCAAUGACGGUACCUGACGAGGAAGCCACGGCUAACUACGUG
RNAcentral lists this ribosomal RNA (502 nucleotides) under uncultured bacterium. RNAcentral's name for it is "bacterial SSU rRNA". It matches the Rfam family "Bacterial small subunit ribosomal RNA", at positions 36 to 507 of the family's 1533-position model. The record is from RNAcentral.